Non-coding RNA from Phrynosoma platyrhinos (Desert horned lizard), 72 nucleotides. Lineage: Eukaryota; Metazoa; Chordata; Lepidosauria; Squamata; Phrynosomatidae. The record is from the annotation of a GenBank genome assembly.
GCCAGUGUGGUGCAGUGGUUUGAAUGUUGGACUAUGACUCUGGAAUCCGGAGUUCGAAUCCCGGCUCAGCCA